Molecule: ribosomal RNA, 467 nt
Filed under: uncultured bacterium
Lineage: Bacteria
Description: partial 16S ribosomal RNA
Rfam family: Bacterial small subunit ribosomal RNA
Source: RNAcentral
GACGAACGCUGGCGGCGUGCUUAACACAUGCAAGUCGAACGGAAAGGCCCUGCUUUUGUGGGGUGCUCGAGUGGCGAACGGGUGAGUAACACGUGAGUAACCUGCCCUUGACUUUGGGAUAACUUCAGGAAACUGGGGCUAAUACCGGAUAGGAGCUCCUGCUGCAUGGUGGGGGUUGGAAAGUUUCGGCGGUUGGGGAUGGACUCGCGGCUUAUCAGCUUGUUGGUGGGGUAGUGGCUUACCAAGGCUUUGACGGGUAGCCGGCCUGGGAGGGUGACCGGCCACAGGGGACUGGGGGAGGGGCCCAGACCCCAACGGGGGGGAGGGGGGGGGAAUUUUGCAAAAGGGGCGGAGGGCGGAUGGAGCACCCCCGGGUGGGGGAGGUCGGUUUUCGGGUGGGAACCCGUUUUCCCGUGGGAGGGAGCGUGAGGAAGGGAAAUGGUAAAAGAGCCACGGGUAAAUUCGGG